GAUCAUGGCUCAGGACGAACGCUGGCGGCGUGCCUAAUACAUGCAAGUAGAACGCUGAAAGAGGAGCUUGCUUCUCCGGAUGAGUUGCGAACGGGUGAGUAACGCGUAGGUAACCUGCCUGGUAGCGGGGGAUAACUAUUGGAAACGAUAGCUAAUACCGCAUAAGAGUAGAUGUUGCAUGACAUUUGCUUAAAAGGUGCAAUUGCAUCACUACCAGAUGGACCUGCGUUG
Molecule: ribosomal RNA, 231 nt
Filed under: uncultured bacterium
Lineage: Bacteria
Description: partial 16S ribosomal RNA
Rfam family: Bacterial small subunit ribosomal RNA
Source: RNAcentral